AGCUCAUUAAGCACCAGCCUGCGGCUGUUGAGAGCAGCGCUGGCUCCUCGCAAAGCCUCUGAUUUUCAGCACCCCAGUUGUGCCUAGAGGUUUCCCAGCUGCUCCUGGCUCAGGCUGGGAGCUCUUCCCCUUUAUUUCCCUCUGCUGAAGGAGGGAAACAAGAGGUGAAUUCCCCUCAUCUGAAGGAUCCUUGGAGAGGAAGAGGGUCAGAGGAAGGACUGCAUAGACCCGGGAAAAAGGCAGGGAAAUAUGGAGCAUCUGGAGCUUGCACAGGAUCCCAGGAAUAUGGGAAGGGCAGGAAAGCCCUGGGACAAGUUACAAACAGUGAAACUCAGCUGGAUUUGUGCAGAGGAAGAGGUGCCCUGAGAUGAAAUAUGGGGUUGAUCUGCAUGGGAAAAAAAUCCCUGUGAAGUCCAGGAGAAGGGGACUGACCCCACUGGGGAACGUGGAAAGCCAGGGAAGAACCCAGAAUCCUUGGAUUGGGCUGUUGCUUGGAUCAGUAACCUCAGACAGAGCUCCCAGACCAGGUUUCCAAAGAAGGAUUUGCUGUUAUCCACCAAAUAAGGUAAAGCAACAAUCAAUUCCCUCCAGAGCUAUAAUUAACGGUGUUCCCUGGGUUGUGCCAAAACCAGGGAGGAACAGACAACCAAGGAAAACAAGUCUUGAAAUGUCAUUUCCUUCAUCCACUUGUCAGAGCAGGCUCAGCUGGGAAUUCCUGAGACCUCUGUCCUUCAAAAUCCUGGGAGAUGAGGCUUCCACAGCCAGCCCAGGCAAUUCCCUGUGCCCAGAGAUCUCCAUCCCUGGAUUGUUUCCUCAAAUCUCCAUUCCAGCCUCCUCUCUGCAGCAUUGUCGUGUCUUGUCCUGCUUGCCCUGCUCAUGAAGCACCUGCUCCACCCUUCCUCUUCCUGGAAAUUCUUGUUGUGCUUCCCUCAACCUUCUCCUUGUUGGACAUCUCAGCCCGUGGUCUUUCUCGCUCUCUUCUGUGCUCUUGCCCAUCAGUAUUAGAAUUCUUUGAGAUAUUUUUUCAGCUGACCAAGGUCAUUUGAAGCUUGGUUUGCUGCAUCCGUGGAGUUAUUUUCUGGAUGCCUGGCUGUGGUUGUCCCUAGGAUUUGGAUAGGAAUUUGUACCCACUUCACAACGAAACUCAGGGCAGAAAGAAAAAAGUCCUGGAAGAGCCCUUGUUUUUCCAGGACUGCUAAUUCCAAUGAAUUUCAAUUAUAAACAAAAUCUGCAUCAAUCAUAGAAAAGAAAUUAAAGUCUGUGAUUGAACUCUACCCCUCCUUGGGUGGUGCAGCUGCUGGGUUGUCCUAGGAAUGUUUUCUUGGAAGGAAACUCUAAGUUGUUCUAAAGACGUUGCUUGGAAGGCCUGGAUCUGGCAGUGCUGCGUGGUCCUCAGUCCUGCCCUGGUGUUUUUGGCCACGUGAGGAACUUCAAAUUCCUUGGAGCCACCUCAGGGACAUUGAGUCCAUGUCCUGCCGUGUCUCUUUGCACAAGGAACCACCUGAUUUCCACGAGACUUUGAAUCUGCACCAUUUAUGGAACCCUGAGAAUGCCAUCAGGGAGAGGCAAAGCAAAGCUCAGCUCCGCGUUUGGGCCAGGACUGUGUGGGCUUAACGUGGGACAGGCCUGGGAUAACCCUGGCAGCCACGGGGAAGCCAAGCACGGCGCAUGCUCAGAGUGGCCAAUUUCAGAAGUCCGAAACUUCUGAACGAUGGCACAUCCAGCUGGUGGAAAAGCCGGGAAAAUCAACCCAAAAGAAAAAAAAAUGGAGAGGAAAAAGGACAAGAGAACAAGAGUGCAAAUGUGCCCUUGGGCCCAGGCCCUGGGGAGGGACAGGAGGGGCUUGACAGGGUGAGAGCAGAACACUCCCAGGACUCAGCAUCCUCCUGCUUUCUCUCUCGGGAGCUGCUUUAUCUUCAGGGAAGUGUUGUCUCUUUUGGGAAUGCCGUUUCCAAGAGUGUGAGCAGGAACUUGCUGUGCCUUCAGACAACCCCUCUGGUUAUCUCAAGACUCAAAUUCUUCCUCCAUUAACCAAAGAGGGGUGGGAGAGCUCCUCGUUCCACUUUCCUCGUCGUGAUUUCCAGGGAAGAACGCAGAGUCAGGAGCUCUGUGCUCUUGGAUCUCCUCCACGGCCUCGUGCAUAUCGUGGUGCAACUUCCCAGAGCAGGAAUUAACGAUGAGAAACUCGCUUGGUGGAGUCCCAGGAGGGCCAUUCCUGGCUGGGGAGCUGCUGGCACAUUUAUCCAUGGAUGCACACUCGGCCUCCAGCUGGGGAAAACAGAACGUGCUCUGGCACGGCCUUUGGAGAGGCUUUGGGAUCAGGGCUCGGGAUCAGGGCUUGGCACAGGCUCGUUCCCUGCGCUCCUGGAGCAAACUCCUCCAUGGACCUGUGUGGAGCACAGCGGUGCUCUGGUUUUUCACUCAGUACCAAGGGAAGGGCCAGGAUUGUUCCUUGAGACUGGGCCCAAAGAGAACCUGGAAGGAGAAGGGUUUUCCUCACCCGAGUCCAGAAUUUCUGCUGAUCUAAGGCAGUGAACGACUGGAAUUUACCCUUUUGUAAAUGUGGGCUAAAGCAAGGGAAACCACAAUUUUUGAUAUCCCUGGAUUUUCACCAAUGCUUCACCCAACAGCACGAAUGAUUCAUCCUAUGAAACAGAGAUUUAUGUUAUUUUUGUUUACCUUCACCUACCAAAGAGCUGAGCUUGUGAUGCUGGAGGUCUGUUCCUGCCCUGGACUUGCUAGGAGCUGUUUUGACUGAAUUUUUCAAAGCUGUUCAACGAGCCUUUCAUGUCAAAAGAACAAAUUAAGCAAGUUUUUAAACUAUUCUGCUACAUCAGCUCUCACUGUUCUGGGACAGCCAAAACUUUUCAGCUUGGUCUGGUUGGUGGAAGAACAAAUCUCCUGUGCCCUUGGUGGCCUGGGGACACAGAGCUGGAAUUAGAACAGUAGCUGGACUUGGUAAAAUUAUUGUUUUGUAUUUAUUGAUUUCUUAUGUUGCUUUGACAGCAAACCUUCUGGGGUGGCUGUCCAGGCCACAGAGUAAAGGACAAGAAAGGAGGAGGAAAAUAAAUAAAUAAAUAAAUAAACAUCAUAAAAUUCAUCAGAGUUUUAUUAUAACGCACUUUUGUGAUUUUGCCAGCUCUGUGCCUUCCAUUCCCUACUUCAGGCCAUGUCUGGGGCCAGUGAGGUGUCCUGGAAACCCAAAUUCCCCCAAAACACCAUGUGCUGAUGAGGUGUCCCAUCAGCACAGCCAAACACAGUUCUGUCUCCUUUCUUUGGGAUUUUGGGAUGUGGGAAAUUUUCCUCAGGUCCAAGCCCAUCAGCAGAGAUGGGGACAGUGGGAAAACCAGAAAACAGAGCCCC
Vidua chalybeata is the source of this 3363-nucleotide long non-coding RNA. RefSeq lists it as uncharacterized. The transcript is spliced from 3 exons. The record is from RefSeq and is a predicted model, not a curated record. NCBI's taxonomy places the organism in Eukaryota, Metazoa, Chordata, Aves, Passeriformes, Viduidae.